Molecule: long non-coding RNA, 1048 nt
Filed under: Salmo salar (Atlantic salmon)
Lineage: Eukaryota; Metazoa; Chordata; Actinopteri; Salmoniformes; Salmonidae
Description: lncRNA (ENSSSAG00000109045.1)
Source: RNAcentral
CCUUCUUCAGAGCAGCGCGAACCAACUGCCUCUGACCAGGUGAGACGGUUCCGUCCCUCUCCUGCCCACUGACCAGCUCCCACACCUUUUAAACAAUCAGUCAAUCAAAUGUAUCGAUAAAGCAGUUUUUAGAUCAAAAGAGUGAGAAUAAGGGGUUUUACAGUAACCCGGCCUGGACUCCAGACUGCAAGCAGAGGCACACAUUAGCAAAGAAAAACUCAACAUCCAAAAUGGCACCCGAUUCACUACACAGUGCACUACUUUUCACCAGGGUCCAGGUCAAAACUAGGGCACUAUUUAGGGAAUCGGGUGGCAUUUUGGACACCCCACCUACCUGUCCCCUGGUCCUCCUCCUCAGCUUGACCUUGAUGGAGAUCUGAGUGUUCUCCAGCCUCUGUCCGGUCAGCCACUUCCUCCCAACCGCACCUCACAAUCACAUCACAUCUUAUUUACAACGCAGUUAAAAAUGUCAACACACUUUACAGUACAUGACACAGAUACAAAUAAACAACAUGCUAAAUAUGAGGUUCAUAAAAUAACUAUAAAACCCCAAAGGAUGUGAAAAAUAAGUCAAAUGGUUGAUUCAAGGCCCCAGGGUUUGAAAGACGACUUAAAAACCUCAACUAUCAUCCCCUCAUACCUCUCCUCUCCUGACACUCCCCUGUUCCUCCUUCCUCUGCUCUCCCAGUGUGUGGUGUCAGCUGCUGCUCCCUCAUCUUCUCCAUCCUCCUCUCCGUCACACCGUUCUCCGCCACAGAGCAUUCUGGGACGGCACUCUUCUCCCGGGGUGUCGUGGGGUGGUCCGAAUCGUCACUUGGGGCGACCAUGUCACCGCUCAGGACAACAGAGGACGAUGAGAGGUUUGUGACCUCCGGUUCGGAGGUCCGAGGGUGGGUUCUAAAGGAAGCUGUGCCACAGCUGACCGUUGCUUUGACGCUGGGUGGGGUGGAACUGGGGGUCAUAAUCUGGGGACUCAGGGAAGGAGGUGCCGUGUGAGUUGUGUGCUGCUGCCCUUCACUGCUGCUCUGGACUAGUAGGAGAGGUGGAG